RNAcentral lists this ribosomal RNA (400 nucleotides) under uncultured bacterium. Its description in RNAcentral is "bacterial SSU rRNA". It matches the Rfam family "Bacterial small subunit ribosomal RNA", at positions 338 to 749 of the family's 1533-position model. The record is from RNAcentral.
CCUACGGGAGGCAGCAGGUAGGGGAAUUAUUGGAACAAGUGGGACGAAAGCCUGAUCCAGCAAUGCCGCGUGAGUGAUGAAGGCCUUAGGGUUGUAAAGCUCUUUUACCCGGGAUGAUAAUGACAGUACCGGGAGAAUAAGCCCCGGCUAACUCCGUGCCAGCAGCCGCGGUAAUACGGAGGGGGCUAGCGUUGUUCGGAAUUACUGGGCGUAAAGCGCACGUAGGCGGUUAUUCAAGUCAGAGGUGAAAGCCUGGAGCUCAACUCCAGAACUGCCUUUGAAACUAGAUAACUAGAAUCAUGGAGAGGUGAGUGGAAUUCCGAGUGUAGAGGUGAAAUUCGUAGAUAUUCGGAAGAACACCAGUGGCGAAGGCGGCUCACUGGACAUGUAUUGACGCUGG